RNAcentral lists this transfer RNA (439 nucleotides) under Clostridioides difficile. RNAcentral's name for it is "16S-23S ribosomal RNA intergenic spacer (ISR)". The stretch from base 44 to 116 matches the Rfam family "tRNA". The record is from RNAcentral. Lineage: Bacteria; Bacillati; Bacillota; Clostridia; Peptostreptococcales; Peptostreptococcaceae.
GCCUACUGUUUAAUUUUGAAAGUUCUUUACGAACUUUAUAUAUGGGGGUGUAGCUCAGUUGGGAGAGCACUUGCCUUGCAAGCAAGGGGUCAGGAGUUCGACUCUCCUCAUCUCCACCAUUUAAGAGUAUAUUACUUAAAUCUUUGAUUUACUUAGUAGCCUCUUACAAUGCACUUAUAGCUUAAAUUUAUACAGGCUUUGUGUGUUAGCACUUUAAGCAACAGAAUAAACUGAACACAUGUGAAGUUUGUUUGUUGGCGCUGUGCAUUAGCACUUUAAGCAACGAGAUUUAUCCGUUGGCGCUGUGCUUUAGCACUUUGAAAACUGCAUAUAUAUAUUUAGUGAUAUGACAUCUAAUUUGUAAUAUAUAAAGCUGAUAACUUUUUAAAAUUAUCGAAGUUGAUAGCUUCUAAUCUAUCAAACCUUUUUAACUGGUCAA